This is a long non-coding RNA of Girardinichthys multiradiatus, 710 nucleotides long. RefSeq lists it as uncharacterized. Lineage: Eukaryota; Metazoa; Chordata; Actinopteri; Cyprinodontiformes; Goodeidae. The transcript is spliced from 2 exons. The record is from RefSeq and is a predicted model, not a curated record.
UGCUUCGUUCUUGCCAUUAAACACAAGACUUUGAUCUGGGUUGGACCAACACUGUUUGUUCACUCAACUGACUGUAUCGCAGACUUCAGACAAAAACUGUAGCAGCAAGAAGCUCCAAAGUGAGGGAUUUAUUCCUGCUAUGUAAAAGCCAUGGCUGUGAAACCGAUCAUUUCACCUGAAUAUAAAAUUCUCACGUUUGUGCAGCACCAAGAACCUCAAAAGUAUCAAAUUGAAAGGAAGAGGAGCUCCAAAGACUUUUACCCUCCACUGAUGGCCUUUACAAGGAGCAGGCUGCAUGUUGCGGAAAGAAAAUCUCAGCGGUUUGGACAUGGAGAUAUUCCUGACACCAGUCAGGUGACCUGGAAGGAGGUGUUUGGAUCAGCAUCUAGUCAGAGGCACUGAGGUAGACAACAUGCGGACAUCCUUCCAUCCAUCCAUCCAUCCAUCCAUCCUCUACUGCUGUUGUGGGUUUUGCUCCAGAUCUCAUCCUAGUUGGACAAAAACAUCUCGCCUAAGAGCUGUUGGGAGGCUUCACUGACCAGUCAAAAACUCUACCUCUCUAUAGUGACUCUAAACCCUCCAAAAACAACAGAAUCCACCAUCCUCUCUCUUUGUGUGGAAAUAAAAACCUUAAAAAACUGUGAAAGAAAAAGUUGUAUAUAUGCAAUAUAACUGUUUUCAACUGUAUUUAUUAAACAAAUGUUAAGUUA